AAAGGAAUAGACGGGGACCCGCACAAGCGGUGGAUUAUGUGGUUUAAUUCGAAGCAACGCGAAGAACCUUACCAAGUAUUGACAUGGAGCUUAAGGGUCGGGAGACCGACAGAUGGGAAAGCUCACACAGGUGGUGCAUGGUUGUCGUCAGCUCGUGUCGUGAGAUGUUGGGUUAAGUCCCGCAACGAGCGCAACCCCUGUCUUUAGUUACCAACAGUGAGAUGGGAACUCUAGAGAGACUGCCGGUGACAAACCGGAGGAAGGUGGGGAUGAGGUCAAAUCAGCAUGCCCCUAAUGACUUGGGCUACACACGUAAUACAAUGGCGUAUACAGAGGGAAGCGAAGUAGUGAUACGGAGCGAAUCUCAGAAAGUACGUCUCAGUUCGGAUUGAAGUCUGCAACUCGACUUCAUGAAGUGGGAAUCGCUAGUAAUCGCGAAUCAGCAUGUCGCGGUGAAUACGUUCUCGGGUCUUGUACACACCGCCCGU
Molecule: ribosomal RNA, 488 nt
Filed under: uncultured bacterium
Lineage: Bacteria
Description: bacterial SSU rRNA
Rfam family: Bacterial small subunit ribosomal RNA
Source: RNAcentral